AUUCAGGGGAGAUGCGGUUUUCUGAACCGCCAGAUGGGGGCAGUGUAGGACAGCGCGUUGUGAAACGGGCAGCAGUCUGAACUUGGAGCUGUCGGGAUUGGGGAAGAAGUGAGCGGGACUGAACGCAUAUAUCUUGGACCACCAGGGUUGUAGCCAUGGACUCUGACCCGUUGAAUGCUGAGGAUCAGAAUACAUCAGAACCUCCAACUGAACCUGGAAGCACUAAACGGGUUUCACUCCGGAGCAUCGGACUCCACUCGACCUGAACAUAAAGUUGUUGAUUUGAGCUUGGCUCAUUUCCUGAGUGAAACCCCUUAAAUAUCUCCCAGCUCCCCACAAUAAAGUGUUUGUCUAUUUUA
Molecule: long non-coding RNA, 359 nt
Organism: Girardinichthys multiradiatus
Lineage: Eukaryota; Metazoa; Chordata; Actinopteri; Cyprinodontiformes; Goodeidae
Exons: 3
Source: RefSeq, a predicted model, not a curated record